GGGCACGUAGGUUAAUGUGGGCACGACUGUGCAAAUCCUUGUGGAUAUAUUUAAUGUUAGAGGAAUUGUCCAUUUCGGCGGUGCAGCAUCGGUAAAUGAAUCUGUGGUCAUUGGUGAUGUUUCAGUGCCUGAUCAAGUUGCUUACACAGCAGCGUGGAGCUGGAGGAAUUCUUCGACAGAUGAAGUUCAGCCAUUCCUUAAAGAUAUGGUUUAUGGGAAUUUGAGUUUUGGAGAUUUUAAUGUUCCCCAAAAGGGAGAUAAUUUACUAGGACGCAUCUUUUAUUGGGCAUCGACAUGGUUCACUGGUCAGCAAACACAGAACAGAGGUUUUUGGCUUCCCGUAAACCCAGAUUGGCUAAGGAUUGCAUCUCAGAUCCAGGGUUUGAAGUUGGAAACCCAUGUGAAUGAAACUGUGUACGUACCUUACAAACCAGUAGUUCAAUUCGGAUUAAAGGCCGGUACUGCUGAUUUGUUCAUUGUAAACGAAGCAUAUGGUGAUUUCCUUCA
Molecule: non-coding RNA, 507 nt
Organism: Jatropha curcas
Lineage: Eukaryota; Viridiplantae; Streptophyta; Magnoliopsida; Malpighiales; Euphorbiaceae
Source: RefSeq, a predicted model, not a curated record